CAAGGGAGUUGGGUGUUAGUGACACGGUGUUGAAAUUGCUGGCCUGGGGAGCUGAGACCUGACCCGGGUUCUCUUUUCACUCACCAUCUUCUCCAGAGGACGGUGCCAAGGCUUCUGAGGACAGGGGGAAGGUGGACGAUUCUGUGUGAGGCGUCACAGACGAAGGGACCACAAAGCUGAGUCUUAAUGAGUAAACAGCCCAAACAUGCUCCCUUCCUGUGGAUGAAUGGUAGAUGGAGGAAUAUGAAGGAAGCGGUGAUUAAGAACAUAACUUCUGCAACCUAAGUGUCCAUUGACAGAUGAAUGGAUGGAGAAGAUGUGGUAUAUAUACACAAUGGAAUAUUACUCAGCCAUAAAGAAGAAUGAAAUAAUGCCAUUUGCAGUAACAUGGAUGGAACCAGAGAUUAUCAUACUAAGUGACUUCAUUGUUCAAGACGUCUUGAUAUUUGAGAAGUCAACUACCAGAGUACCAGAACCUUGCUGCAUUGCCACGAGAACAAGCCUGGGCCUGCCUGCUGGAGGAUGAGAGACGCUAUGGAGCAGAGAUGAGCCAUCCCAGCUGAUGCCACCCUGACCAACCAGUGCCCAGCCAAACCAAGAGCUGACCACAGACCCAAGACCAGAGGAGCCGCCUAGCUGAGCCCAGACCAAACUGCUGACCUGAAGAAAGACCUACGGGAACAAAGGAUCCGCGGAAUAUGCUGUUGAGAAGUGUAACGUGGUAGCAAAGUUCAACUCUGAAGUCACAAGACCUGGCUUGCUCC
Molecule: long non-coding RNA, 764 nt
Organism: Physeter macrocephalus (sperm whale)
Lineage: Eukaryota; Metazoa; Chordata; Mammalia; Artiodactyla; Physeteridae
Exons: 5
Source: RefSeq, a predicted model, not a curated record